This is a long non-coding RNA of Gavialis gangeticus (Gharial), 1066 nucleotides long. RefSeq lists it as uncharacterized. The record is from RefSeq and is a predicted model, not a curated record. NCBI's taxonomy places the organism in Eukaryota, Metazoa, Chordata, Crocodylia, Gavialidae. The transcript has 3 exons.
GUCACCGUCAUAUCUGCCAGUCUUUCUUGUAAGGUCACUCAGAAGAGCGAUGGCCGGAGCUGACAUCUUGGGGUCUCUGGGACCUCCCCCUGUUUGGGAGCAUGGCAUGGGGGAAGCAAAGCAGAAGUGCUGGAGCAGCUUCAGCCCAUACAAAGGCAGCAGGAGCAUUUGAAAACCCCUGUGUCAGCUGUAUGCAAGAUGUAUCCAGCUAUGUCCUCAGUUAUCAACCAGAUCAAGGAGGAAGUCAUCUGUGUAAAGGUUCAUGCCUGACUGUUGCAUGUGAUAAGAGAGCAUGUGUUUAUAACACAAGGCCAAGUGAAAGAUGACUUUGAAGAUGGCAUUCUAGUUGAAUCACAAAAAAACCCAAGAAUUGCUUUUUGAGCCCCUCCUACCUCUCAAUCCACUGACCCACUGCACAAAAGUGACCAGGGGAAAAAGCCAGCAGGUGUGGUGCAGCACUUCUUCGCAUUGCACCUGGACCGUAAGCCACUGUGGGAUGUAUCAGAAAAUCCUCAGAAAGUCUAUGCAUUUCAGUAACUGACUUCUCCCCUGUUUGAUUGUAUUUCUGUAUAUAGUUGAAGAAUAAUCCUUAAUAACAUGGGAUUUAGCCAGUACUACGAGACAUCCCAUAAAGAGCAAUGGCGUAUGUUCUGGCGACUAAAUUUAGGGACUAAAUAUUUUACAACAAUUUUUUUCAAAUGAGUUGGGGCCUUUUUGUCAAUGAGGUUCCUAGUAAAUCAUGUUUCCUUUCUAUCCUGCUCCACAGAGGGUUGAAUAACUGAGCAGAGUAGGAAGUAGAGACCUGGAUGUAAUAGAUGUUGGCUGAGGGGAAUCUGGUAACAGCGAAUCCUUUCCCCACACCACCAGGGAUUUGUUUCAGCAAAGCAUUUAAAUGGGUUAUUCUUAACCAGGGCAUUGUGGCACCUUAAUGUGCCAUGAGAUCAUUUUAAUGGUGCCAUGGGGUACUGUGCAAUAUUGGCACUGUUAGGUGUGCAAACAUCUACGUAUGAUUACCAGCUAAACUCAGAGAUAUCAAAUAAGAAUCCAAGGGUGUUUAUACAUGUGC